Sceloporus undulatus (fence lizard) is the source of this 512-nucleotide long non-coding RNA. RefSeq lists it as uncharacterized. The transcript is spliced from 3 exons. NCBI's taxonomy places the organism in Eukaryota, Metazoa, Chordata, Lepidosauria, Squamata, Phrynosomatidae. The record is from RefSeq and is a predicted model, not a curated record.
CCAGAAAUGGGGGUUUCCAUCAGCUGACUCUCCCACCGUUAAAUAACCGAGAAAGACGGAUCUGAAGCCUGCCAUUCUGAGUUAGCCCCCCGCUAAAUGAUCCAUGACUAUCUUUCUGGCCUUGGCCACCAAUCUCCAAAGGAAAAGCAACAAAGCAGGAUAAGUAUGGAGGAUGGUGCAGUGGUUUGAGCGUUGGACUACAGCUCUGGAGACCCGGAUUCGAAUCUCUGCUCUGCCAUUAACGCAUUACAGGCGCACCUCCGUUAGCAAAGUCGGUGUAUUCCUGGGUAUUAAACAUGACAUCAGAUGCAGAAAUAACGUGGAAACAAUAAGGAUCGGUUCCUGCAUCACAAAACAGAAGAGCGGUUGAGCAUGUCCCAGCAAACAUUUACUCUAAGUAGCAAGUCAGUGUGGCGUAGUGGUUUGAAUUUUGGACCAUGACUCUGGAGACCAUGGUUCGAAUCCCAGCUUGGCCAUGAACCUCACUGGGCAAGUCACAUUAUCCCAGCCUC